Molecule: ribosomal RNA, 1100 nt
Filed under: Vibrio sp. R151
Lineage: Bacteria; Pseudomonadati; Pseudomonadota; Gammaproteobacteria; Vibrionales; Vibrionaceae
Description: bacterial SSU rRNA
Rfam family: Bacterial small subunit ribosomal RNA
Source: RNAcentral
GCAAGUCGAGCGGAACGACACUAACAAUCCUUCGGGUGCGUUAAUGGGCGUCGAGCGGCGGACGGGUGAGUAAUGCCUAGGAAAUUGCCUUGAUGUGGGGGAUAACCAUUGGAAACGAUGGCUAAUACCGCAUAAUGCCUACGGGCCAAAGAGGGGGAUCUUCGGACCUCUCGCGUCAAGAUAUGCCUAGGUGGGAUUAGCUAGUUGGUGAGGUAAUGGCUCACCAAGGCGACGAUCCCUAGCUGGUCUGAGAGGAUGAUCAGCCACACUGGAACUGAGACACGGUCCAGACUCCUACGGGAGGCAGCAGUGGGGAAUAUUGCACAAUGGGCGAAAGCCUGAUGCAGCCAUGCCGCGUGUAUGAAGAAGGCCUUCGGGUUGUAAAGUACUUUCAGUUGUGAGGAAGGGGGUGACGUUAAUAGCGUUAUCUCUUGACGUUAGCAACAGAAGAAGCACCGGCUAACUCCGUGCCAGCAGCCGCGGUAAUACGGAGGGUGCGAGCGUUAAUCGGAAUUACUGGGCGUAAAGCGCAUGCAGGUGGUUCAUUAAGUCAGAUGUGAAAGCCCGGGGCUCAACCUCGGAACUGCAUUUGAAACUGGUGAACUAGAGUGCUGUAGAGGGGGGUAGAAUUUCAGGUGUAGCGGUGAAAUGCGUAGAGAUCUGAAGGAAUACCAGUGGCGAAGGCGGCCCCCUGGACAGACACUGACACUCAGAUGCGAAAGCGUGGGGGAGCAAACAGGAUUAGAUACCCUGGUAGUCCACGCCGUAAACGAUGUCUACUUGGAGGUUGUGGCCUUGAGCCGUGGCUUUCGGAGCUAACGCGUUAAGUAGACCGCCUGGGGAGUACGGUCGCAAGAUUAAAACUCAUAUGAAUUGACGGGGCCCGCCACAAGCGGUGGAGCAUGUGGUUUAAUUUCGAUGCAACGGCGAGACCUUACCUACUCUUGACAUCCAGAGAAGCAGCCGAGACGCAAGUGUGCUUUCAGGACUCUGAAACAGUGCUGCAUGGCUGUCGUCAGCUCAGUUGUGAAUGUGAGUAGUCGCACGACCAACCUAUCUGUGCCAGCAGUAGCGAGUCAGUAACUGCGGUCAUAAAGCGA